Molecule: ribosomal RNA, 184 nt
Filed under: uncultured bacterium
Lineage: Bacteria
Description: partial 16S ribosomal RNA
Rfam family: Bacterial small subunit ribosomal RNA
Source: RNAcentral
UGCAUGAAGUCGGAAUUGCUAGUAAUCGUAGGUCAGCAUACUACGGUGAAUACGUUCCCGGGCCUUGUACACACCGCCCGUCAAACCAUGAGAGUUGGCAACACCCGAAGUCGGUAGUCUAACCGCAAGGAGGACGCCGCCGAAGGUGGGGUUGAUGAUUAGGGUUAAGUCGUAACAAGGUACC